GGGAGGCGAAAUCCGACUCACACGUCCUCGUCGUGCCUCCUGGAUCAUGGGACUGAUUCCAUGACCUAACGUGGGCGG
This 78-nucleotide non-coding RNA is filed under the name Schistosoma mansoni. Lineage: Eukaryota; Metazoa; Platyhelminthes; Trematoda; Strigeidida; Schistosomatidae. The record is from RNAcentral.